Molecule: ribosomal RNA, 257 nt
Filed under: uncultured bacterium
Lineage: Bacteria
Description: partial 16S ribosomal RNA
Rfam family: Bacterial small subunit ribosomal RNA
Source: RNAcentral
UACAGAGACCUCAAGCGUUAUCCGGAAUCAUUGGGCGUAAAGCGUACCGAUAGGUGGUUUUACAAGUCAGAAGUGAAAUCUUAAGGCUUAACCUUGAGUCUGUCUUUUGAAACUGUAAAACUAGAGGGGCAAAGAGGAAGCUGGAACGAACGGUGUAGUAGUGAAAUGCGUUGAUAUCGUUCGGAACACCAAUAGCGUAGGCAAGCUUCUGGGUGCCACCUGACACUGCUAGGACGAAAGCGUGGGUAGCGAACAGG